This 814-nucleotide ribosomal RNA is filed under the name marine metagenome. RNAcentral's name for it is "bacterial SSU rRNA". It matches the Rfam family "Bacterial small subunit ribosomal RNA", at positions 515 to 1328 of the family's 1533-position model. The record is from RNAcentral.
CCGCGGUAAUACGAAGGGACCUAGCGUAAUUCGGAAUUACUGGGCGUAAAGCGCGCGUAGGCGGUUAUGUAAGUUAAUUGUGAAAGCCCAAAGCUCAACUUUGGAAUUGCAAUUAAAACUACUUAGCUAGAGUUUAUCAGAGGAAAGCGGAAUACAUAGUGUAGAGGUGAAAUUCGUAGAUAUUAUGUAGAACACCAGUUGCGAAGGCGGCUUUCUGGAUCAUUACUGACGCUGAGGUGCGAAAGUAUGGGUAGCGAAGAGGAUUAGAUACCCUCGUAGUCCAUACUGUAAACGAUGAUUGUUAGAUGUUGGAAAUUUAUUUUCAGUAUCACAGCUAACGCGUUAAACAAUCCGCCUGGGGAGUACGACCGCAAGGUUAAAACUCAAAUGAAUUGACGGGGACCCGCACAAGCGGUGGAGCAUGUGGUUUAAUUCGAAGCUACGCGCAGAACCUUACCAACACUUGACAUGUCUGUCGCGGAAUCCAGAGAUGGAUUCUUUCGGUUCGGCCGGACAGAACACAGGUGCUGCAUGGCUGUCGUCAGCUCGUGUCGUGAGAUGUUGGGUUAAGUCCCGCAACGAGCGCAACCCCUACUUCUAGUUGCCAUCAGGUUAAGCUGGGCACUCUAGUAGGACUGCCUGUGAUAAGCAGGAGGAAGGUUGGGAUGACGUCAAGUCCUCAUGGCCCUUACGUGUUGGGCUACACACGUGCUACAAUGGCAGUGACAAUGAGAUGCUAAACGGCAACGUUAAGCUAAACUCAAAAACCUGCCUCAGUUCGGAUUGCACUCUGCAACUCGAGUGCAUGAAGCUG